This is a long non-coding RNA of Bos taurus (domestic cattle), 1092 nucleotides long. Lineage: Eukaryota; Metazoa; Chordata; Mammalia; Artiodactyla; Bovidae. The record is from Ensembl.
ACUGCUCCCUCAUCUUCGCUGCCUGCAAGCGGCAAGGAGCUUUUUAAGGCUUCAAUAGUUAAUCAUUCGUAAGAAAUAGGAAACAGACAUCGAAAAUAAUAAAUAAGGGAAAAACAAAAUUGUAUAAAACUCUCUGGUAGUUAGCAGUGGUCGACUUCUGAAAUACUAGAGGGUUUCAACUUAAAAUUAGGGCGUCUCAGACUUCCCUGGUGGUACAGUGGAUAGGAAUCCGGCUGCCAACGCAGGGAACGUGGGCUCAAUCUCUGGUCUGGGAAGAUCCCACAUACCUCGGAGCAAUGAAGCCCAUGUACCACAACUGCCGAGCCCACAUGCCCCCAAGCCUGUGCUCCGCAGGAAGAGAAGCCACUGCAGUGAGAAGCCCACACACUCAACGAAGAGAACCCGCUCACCGCAACUAGAGAAAGCCCUCGAGUGUCAAUGAAGACCCCAUGUAGCCAAUAAUGGUGGAGUAGCAGUUCUGUGGAUGAGAAUAUCAAGCAGGCAUUUUGAUGAUGCAGGUAAUGAAGCUGGUUGGAGAAAAUGGGAACUGCAUUGGAAAAUACCAAAUGAAUUCUUUUGUGUUCUCCUGUUCUAAUGCCUGGGUCAAAGCAACCCAAACCAACCGCAGUUCUGCAACACCAGCUUGCAGGAUCUUUUCAUACUGUUCAUGGGGUUCUCAAGGCAAGAAUACUGAAGUGGUUUGUCAUUCUCUUCUCCAGUGGACCACGUUUUGUCAGAACUUUUGAACUGUGGUGUUGGAGAAAACUCUUGAGAGUCCCUUGGACUGCAAGGAGAUCAAACCAGCCAAUCCUUAAGGAAAUCUACCCUGAAUGUUCAUUGAAAGGACUGAUGCUGAAGCUGAAGCUCCAAUAUUUGGGCCACCUGAUGUGAAGAACUGACUCCUUGGAAAAGACCCUGAUGCUGGGAAAGAUUGAAGGUGGGAAGAGAAGUGGACGGCAGAGGAUAAGAUGGUUGGAUGGCAUCACUGACUUGAUGGACGUGAGUUUGAGCAAGCUCUGAGAGUUGGUGAUGGACAGGGAAGCCUGGAGUGCUGCAGUUCAUCGGGUAUCAAAGAACGGGACAUGACUGAAC